Long non-coding RNA from Arachis duranensis, 411 nucleotides. RefSeq lists it as uncharacterized. The transcript is spliced from 2 exons. NCBI's taxonomy places the organism in Eukaryota, Viridiplantae, Streptophyta, Magnoliopsida, Fabales, Fabaceae. The record is from RefSeq and is a predicted model, not a curated record.
UGUAUUGGUGGCUCUUCAAGCGGCGCUGACCGUUAUUGGUAACUUCACAAUGUGCAUUGCUGCUUACAGGAUAUACAAAUCGUCCAGCGAAGGCUCCAAGAAUUUUUGAAUGAAAAACCUUCCACGAGAUCAAGUAAGCAGAGAAGUCCCUCCAAAAUGGUUUGAAGAUGUGGUCCAUUUCUUUCAUAAUUCACAUGUCAUUUUUCUUUUCAAGUAAAGAAAAGCCAUCCCAUCUUGUCUACCCUCUAAAAAGUCCAUGCCACCCCAUAAAGAUAAUGAAAGCAUUCAUAAUGGCUCAUCAGUCACAAGUCAAAGUGUGAAACUUUGAUCAUCCACAUGGACCUAAAUUUUGAUGUUUGAAAUUAUUUGUAAACUUCUAAUAUUAAGUAAUGGAUAAUUUAUUAUGUGAAA